GGUUGCGAUCAUACCAGCACUAAUGCACCGGAUCCCAUCAGAACUCCGCAGUUAAGCGUGCUUGAACGAGAGUAGUACUAGGAUAGGUGACCCCCUGGGAAGUCCUCGUGUUGCAACCC
This 119-nucleotide ribosomal RNA is filed under the name Helianthus annuus (common sunflower). Lineage: Eukaryota; Viridiplantae; Streptophyta; Magnoliopsida; Asterales; Asteraceae. The record is from RNAcentral.